Molecule: ribosomal RNA, 510 nt
Filed under: uncultured bacterium
Lineage: Bacteria
Description: partial 16S ribosomal RNA
Rfam family: Bacterial small subunit ribosomal RNA
Source: RNAcentral
AGUGAACGCUGGCGGCGUGCUUAACACAUGCAAGUCGAGCGAAUUUCGGCAGCGUAUCGUCGGAGUUAGCGGCAGACGGGUGAGUAAUACUUGGGUAAUCUACCCUUGAGGGGGAAACAACCUGCCGAAAGGUGGGCUAAUGUCCCAUAAGACCACAAGACGGCAUCGUCCAGGGGUCAAAGCUCCGCAAGGGGCGCUUAUGGAGGAGCCCGAGUCCUAUCAUGGUAGUUGGUGAGGUAACGGCUCACCAAGCCUUUGACGGGUAGCCGGCCUGAAAGGGUGAUCGGCCACACUGGAGCUGAGACACGGUCCAGACUCCUACGGGAGGCAGCAGUGGGGAAUUUUGGACAAUGGGGGCAACCCUGAUCCAGCCAUGCCGCGUGAGUGAAGAAGGCCUUCGGGUUGUAAAGCUCUUUCGGCCGGGAAGAAAUCGUAUGGGUUAAUACCCUGUGCGGAUGACGGUACCGGCAUAAGAAGCACCGGCUAACUACGUGCCAGCAGCCGCAGUAA